This 72-nucleotide transfer RNA is filed under the name Kalinella pachyderma. RNAcentral's name for it is "tRNA-Ala". It matches the Rfam family "tRNA". From Rfam's summary of the family: Transfer RNA (tRNA) molecules are approximately 80 nucleotides in length. Their secondary structure includes four short double-helical elements and three loops (D, anti-codon, and T loops). Further hydrogen bonds mediate the characteristic L-shaped molecular structure. tRNAs have two regions of fundamental functional importance: the anti-codon, which is responsible for specific mRNA codon recognition, and the 3' end, to which the tRNAs corresponding amino acid is attached (by aminoacyl-tRNA synthetases). tRNAs cope with the degeneracy of the genetic code in two manners: having more than one tRNA (with a specific anti-codon) for a particular amino acid; and 'wobble' base-pairing, i.e. permitting non-standard base-pairing at the 3rd anti-codon position. Lineage: Eukaryota; Viridiplantae; Chlorophyta; Trebouxiophyceae; Watanabeales; Watanabeaceae. The record is from RNAcentral.
GGGGGCUUAGCUUAUCCGGUAGAGCACUGGUUUUGCACGCCAGAUGGGGCGGUUCGAGUCCGCCAGUCUCCA